UACGUAGGUGACCAGCGUUGUCCGGAUUUACUGGGCGUAAAGAGCGCGCAGGCGGUCGUUCAAGUCGAGUGUGAAAGCCCCCGGCUCAACUGGGGAGGGUCACUCGAUACUGAUCGACUUGAAGGCAGGAGAGGGAAGCGGAAUUCCUGGUGUAGCGGUGAAAUGCGCAGAUAUCAGGAGGAACACCGAUGGCGAAGGCAGGUCUCUGGGCAUUAACUGACGCUGAGGAGCGAAAGCAUGGGGAGCGAACAGG
RNAcentral lists this ribosomal RNA (253 nucleotides) under uncultured bacterium. RNAcentral's name for it is "partial 16S ribosomal RNA". It matches the Rfam family "Bacterial small subunit ribosomal RNA", at positions 524 to 776 of the family's 1533-position model. The record is from RNAcentral.